RNAcentral lists this long non-coding RNA (8154 nucleotides) under Lactuca sativa (garden lettuce). Its description in RNAcentral is "long non-coding RNA (LSAT_LNC002616)". The record is from RNAcentral. Lineage: Eukaryota; Viridiplantae; Streptophyta; Magnoliopsida; Asterales; Asteraceae.
UAUCAUAAGGGACCUAGUCUAACGAUCAUCAUCGGGAUGGACUCUACUGCUAAGGGGAUUCCUUAACAAUAAAUGUCCUAAAGGCAACCAUGUGGGGGAUGGAGUACACCGGUGAACACAUCGUUCACAAACACCUACAGGUUGCGAGCCUGCUAGUGUUCCACUGGACUGUCUAGAAGAGUCCAUGGUCGUCAUCCAUACUCCGCUAGAUGACAGAAUCAACAACAUCAACAUCGAGGCCUCUCAUCAUUUUAUCACACAUCACCUAUUACAUCUACCCAUGUUUUACCCCAACAUUUUUGUAGAUAUAAAAUACAUAUACAAUUUAAAUCAUUGAAAACAUGUAUAACAAUGUUCAUCCCGCAUAGAUAGCAAGUAUUCAGAUAAUAUGCACACAUAGCACGUAAUUUAUAUAAAAUACUUCAUAUCUAUGUGUAAGCUGAAAGUAACUAUGCACUCACCUGGUAAGGUGGUGACUCGGCGCUCGGACAUCUCUUCGUUACUUCUUAAAACAAUUUUUCCUUGACCAAACCUUGUAUUAAUACCACUAGAGUUUAGUUUUAACGUUAAUCGCGACUAAUUAAUAGUCUAGCUAUUAUUACUAUUAUAUAAGCGUUAAAUAACACUCAAUAUAACUCAUAAUAAUAGCCCAAAUAAUUAUUUUAAGGUCCUAAUAAUGUUACUAUAAUUAAAUAAAAGCUAUAUUAAAUAUAGUAUAGGCGUAACUCACUUACAACGGGUUUUUAUUAAAAACCGGGCUUCGCUGGAGCAGCGUUUCCGAGCCGAAAGCUUUUCUUCUCGGAGCCGUCGGGCGCUCCGGGGCUUUCUUCUCGUGAUAGGGAGGUUCCCUAGACUUGGGAGGGGUUUAGGGAGGUUAGAGAGAAGUUAGAGAGAGAAAGAAAGGUUUGAAGGUGUGAGGAAAUAAUGAAGAGUUCAUCUCUUAUUUAUAAGAAGUGUAUACUAAAGUAGUCUCCAAGCUUUGUCCGUAACUUUUGCAUACUAGCUCCAUUUAUUUCUGUCUUUUUACCAUUGAGUUCCUAUUAAUGAGAUCUUCAACUUUCAUUUAGACCUCGUUAGCUAAUUCUCAUUCUAUCUCGGAUUUACAAAACCGUAUCGAAUUCGCCGCGCUCGAAAAGUAGAGACUAAGCUUCGUUCAUAAAUUUCGCAUACGAUCUCUGUUUUUGUCAGUUUUUUACUGUUGAGUUCCUAUUAAUGAGAUCUUCAAUUCUCAUUUAGACAUCGUUGGCUAAUUCUCAUUCUAUCUCGGAUUUACAAAACUGUAUCAAAUUCGUCGCGCUUGAAAAGUAGGGACUAACCUUCGUCCAUAUCUUUCGCAUACGAGCUCUAUUAUCAAGGUUCUUUAUAUCCACGUGUUGGUAUUUACGAGUACUACAACUUUCAUUUAGAUUUCGUCGGCUAAAAAUCGACCGAUCUAAAAUUCAGAUUUCAGGCUGUGCACUGCUUUGCUAAAUCUUAGAAAAAUCAUAACUUCCUCAUACGAAGUCAGAUUUGGGUGUUCUUUUUAUCGAUGUUCUUAGUUUAACAUAUUCUACGACUUUUGUUUAGAGCACUAAGGCUAAAUCUCGCUCUAUCGUAAAUUCACUAUUUGCGCUUCCCGGUAUUGUGUCGGUUCUGUCGCGAAACUUCGACGGGUCAUAACUUCUUCGUUAUAACUUGGAUUUUGGCGUUCCUUAUAUCCCCAGAAUCCUUGUUGUUACCACUACAACUUUAUGUAGAGAUAUAGGGUUUAUCUCACACUUUAAUUUUAACGCUUAUUUUUAUUCUUUAUUAACUAUACGUUUAUAAUUAAAUAAUAAGCACAAUAACACAUAAUUCACAUAAUACUCAAAUAUUUCAUCUUUAUUACUUCAUAAAGAGUUACAAUAGUUGACCUAGAGUAUUACAUUGACAAAUAUGCUUAGCCCUAAAACCCGGACAUUACAAUUCUCUCCCCCUUAGGAUGAUUCCGUCCCGGAAUCAUGCAUCAACAAACGUAUGUGGAUAGCGACUCAUCAUGUCAUCCUCUGUUUUCCAAGUGAGAUUCGGCCAAUUCGAAUGUUUCUCGGACUAGCNUCGACCAUCUUGCAUCGUAAAUUCUUAGUCUUACGGUCAACAAUUGCCUCAGGCUCUUCGAUCAGCCUUUUAUUUUCAUCCAUCCUUAACUAUGAUAUUGGAAUUAUGUCGGGAACAUCUCCCGCGAAUUUCCUCAAACAACACACAUGGAAGGUAUUAUGAAUACCAUUGAGUUCUUCGGGCAAUUCCAGCUUGUAAGCUUGGUUCCCAAUCUUUUGAAGAACUUUGAACAGUCCAAUAGACCUUGGACUCAAUUUUCCUCGUUUCCCAAACCGUAUAAGUCCUUUCCAUGGUGAGACUUUUAGCAAAACCGAAUCCCCAACUUCGAAGGUUAUUUGUCGUCUUUUCUUAUCAGCAUGGCUCUUCUGACGAUCCUUGGCUGCUAACAUCCUUUCCCUAAUCACUUUCAACUUCUCAGCAAUCUCAUGGACUAUCUCGGGGCCUAUAAACUGCUUCUCUCCGGCUUCAAGCCAACAAGACGGCGUACAAAACUUUGUCCAUACAAGGCUUGAUAAGGUGGCAUCUUGAUGCUCGAGUGGAAACUGUAGUUGUAGAAAAUUCUACCAGAGGUAAGUGCCCAUCCCAAUUCCCUUGGAACUCGAGGGUACAUGCUCUCAGCAUACCUUACAGUGUUUGAAUCGUUCUUUUGCUCUGACCAUCAGUCUACGGAUGGUAAUCAGUACUCAAACACAACUUUGUACCCAACUCCUCUUGUAGACUCCUCCAAAACCUUGAUGUGAAACGACUAUCACGAUCUGAUACAAUUGUAAGAGGAACACCGUGAAGUCUUACAAUUUCCUUUACGUAAGCAUUUGUGAGCUUACCCAUAGACCACUUCUCGUUGGUUGCUAUGAAGUGUGCACUCUUCGUGAAACGAUCCAUGACCACCCAAAUCAUGUCGUGACCGCUCUUUGUCCUGGGUAGUUUGGUCACAAAAUCCAUGGUGAUGUCUUCCCAUUUACCCAUGGGUACAUGUAAUGGUUCUAAACUCCCAUACGGUUUUUGAUGUUGUGCCUUAACCCUUGCACAUGUUACGCACUCGGCCACAUACUUUGCAAUAUUGAGCUUCAUUGCCGGCUACCAGUAGUAGGAUUUUAGGUCCCUAUACAUUUUAGUGCUACCGGGAUGAAUUGACUACAUGGUCUUAUGUGCUUCUUCCAUCAGAAGGUCUCUUAUUCCUCCCGUCUUAGGUACCCAAAUUUAAUCUUGGAAUACCUUCAAUCCUCGACUGUUUGUACCGAACACUAACGUUCUUCCCAAACAUUAUUCCUUUCGGUCAUUCUUCUCUAAUGCUUCUUCCUAAGCUUUCCUGAUACUUUCCACAAUCGUCGAGACGACUUCAAUUCUCAAUGCUCUUGGCCUUUUCCUUUCAAGAUUGACUUUCCGACUGAGAGCAUCAGCAACAACAUUUGCUUUACGUGGGUGGUAAAGUAUCUCACAGUCGUAGUCCUUGAGUAGUUCUACCCAGCGUCAUUGCCUCAUGUUCAAUUCUUUCUUAAUAAAGAGAUACUGGAGACUCUUAUGAUCAGUGAACAACUUGCACUUUGUGUCGUAGAGGUAAUGCCUCCAUAUCUUUAGAGCGAAAACUACCGUUGCCAACUCCAAAUCCUGAGUGGGGUAGUUCUUUUCGUGCUCUUUCAAUUGUUGAGAUGCAUAUGCUAUCACCUUUUCUCUUUGGGUCAGAACACAACCCAAACCGACUCCAGAAGCGUCACUAUAAACCGCGAAAUCUUCAACUCCAUCGGGUGGAGAAAGUAUAAGUGCUUCACAUCACUUCUUCUUUAGCUUCUCGAAUGCCUCAUUGUGCUUUUCACUCCAUGUAUACGUAGCUCUUUAUGGGUCAAAGCUGUUAACAGAGCAGCUAUCGGAGAAAAGCCUUGGAUAAAUCAUCGAUAAUAUCCGGCUAAUCCUAGAAAGCUUCGAAUUUCCGUGGGACUUUUCGGACAUUCCCACUUCAUCACAGCCUCGAUCUUUGUGGGGUCCACCAUUAUUCCCUUCUGGUUAACAAGAUGACCCAAGAAUUGAACAUCUCGGAUCCAAAAAUCACGCUUGGAGAACUUUGCAAAAAGCUUCUCCUUCUUUAACACUUCUAAUACUUCCCGUAGAUGCUUGGCAUGCUCUUCUUGGCUUUUCGAGUAGAUGAGAAUGUCGUCGAUGAACACUAUCACGGAUUUAUCGAGGAAUGGUUACAAACCCUGUUCAUCAAAUCCAUGAAUGCUGUAGGAGAAUUGGUUAGUCCAAAUGACAUAACCAAGAACUCAUGGUGUCCAUAUCUUGUUCUGAAUGUAGUCUUCUCAAUAUCCUGCUCUCUCACCUUUAGCUGAUGAUAUCCUGACCUAAGAUCGAUCUUUGAGAAGUAGCUCGAACCUUGCAGUUGAUCGAAUAGGUCAUCAAUCCUCGGCAAUGGAUACUUGUUCUUCACCGUUGCCUUAUUCAGCUCUCGGUAGUCUAUAUACAUUCUCAUACUUCCAUCCUUUUUCUUCACAAAUAACACCAGAGCUCANGGUGAUGAACUAGGUCGAAUGAAACCGUUGUCCAACAGCUCCUGAAGUUGCGUCAUAAGCUCCAUCAUCUCCGUCGGUGCUAAUCGGUAUGGUGCUUUUGCUAUAUAUUGGUGUCGUUCCUGGUAACAAGUAUAUACGAAACUCCACUUGCCUAUCAGGUGGUAAUCCGGGAAGAUCUUCGGGAAAGACUUCCGGAUAAUCACACACAACCGUUAUAUUCUGCACCUCUUUCUUCUCCUUCUUAGCAUCGAUUACGAAUGCCAAGUACGAUGCACAUCCUUUGGACAAACAUUUCCUGGCUUUCAUUAGGGCUAUGAUUCCAUAAUUCACUCUACGCUUGUCCCCGUACACCAUAAAUGAUUCUUUUCCGGGUGGGUUCACCCUUACUAUCUUCUUUUGGCAUUGAACCUCAGCAUCGUUGGCACUACGCCAAUCCAUACCCAAAACGAUGUCGAAACCGUUUUAACUCUAUGGGUAAUAGCUCUUCGUGGAAUUCGUUUCCGUUUAUGUCAAUGACGAUGUUCCUAAUACGAUUACUCAGGUACGAAUUUGCCACUGGCACCUUCUACAAUCAGGGUAUUAUCUAGUUUCUCUACAGGCAAUGCUAAUUUCCCACCAAAUUUAUGCGGCACAAAGGAGUAGUUGGCUCCGGAAUCAAAUAGUAUAUUUGCAGGCAAACCAUUUACAAGAAAGGUACCUGAAGCGACGUCUGCUGCCUCCUUCGCAGCCUGGAGCGUCAUCUGGAAGGCUCUCGCCUUCGGCUUUGGUGGUAUGUUGGGUCUUCAUGCCUCCUUCUUCGGGCAAUCCUUUGAAAUGUGCCCCUCCUCGUUGCACUCAUAACAGACCUUCUUAGUGAACAUGCAUUUGUUGGCAUAGUGCCCAGGCUUUCCACAUUUGAAACAAGUGACCCCUCCGCCACACUUCCCAGAGUGCUUCUUCUUACAAUUGUCACACCACUUCGAUUAUGAUCCUCCUCCUCUCGAACCAAACUUGGAGAAUCUACCCUUCUUACCGGACCUCGAGGAUCCGUCAUAUUUUGUUUUCUCUCCCACCUCCACUCUCUCCAAACCCCUCUCUCAUAUUUGGGUCUCCACAUUCUUAGCAGCCCAGAUGGUGGCUUUCAGAGUGGUAGUUUGCUUGACCAUUGGACCAAAUUCUGCUGGUAAUUCGAGGGCAAAUUUGUUAACCUUGGAGAGUUCAGUUGGAACGAGGUGAGGAACAAGCUUCAUUUUCUCAGUAAAGCUUACAGCGUAUUCAGUAACGCUCAUUCUUCCCUUCUUCAGAUUCUGGAAUUCGUUGUUGAUCUCCAAAAGAUCCUGCUCAGAGUAGUAUUGCAUCUUCAACUAUACCAGAAAAUCCUCCCACGACAUCUUUCUUGCUUCACCUUUGGGCAUUGAAUCAACUAGUAGCUUCCACCAGCUUAGUACUCCAGAUUUCAACAGAGGAACCGCGAGAGCGGUCUUCUGCCUGUUGAUACACUCGCAACUCUCAAACAUCGUCUCCAUUUCAGAGAUCCAGUUCAUGACUUCCACCGGUGUCGGGCUUCUAGAUAGACUCGGUGGCUUGGAUGCCAUGAAAUCUUUGUAUUUUCAUCCACAUCCAUCAUUUCCUCCAUCCUGGUGGUUUUGCCUAACUAUCGGUGGGUUGGCUUGACCAACAGUCCCACUGUAGUUUCCCUCCUCAGUAUGCCCUUCGUUCAACUCGGGCUGUUCGAUCUGAAUAGUCUCUUCCUCUCGAUUUUGCUGGAGCAAACGUCUGGUUUCCUCCAUUUGACGAUCCAACAUUGCCUGGAUCAUUGCUUGCACUCCGGCUAUCGUGACUCGCUCAGGUGCAACUUCUUCAACAACAGGUAUUUGCUGAACCACUGGGGGUUGGUUCUUAUCUCCAUUUGCAUUCACGUUUCCACUAUGGGUCCUUGCCAUCUCNUAGAUCCUCAUUCACGAUAGAUAAUUAAAUUAUCCAAAUAACUCUGAAACGUUUACAUGCUAGUUCUAAUACCAUAGUCCUACGCUUAGAACCUUAAACACAUAAGGUUUCCGGAUUCGGUUGGCAACAAACCAUAGAUCGGAACAAAUAAUAUCAUAUAUGGCAAACAUUUAACAUUUAGUACAUAAGAGCAUUUUAGGCAACUUUCCUAAAAUAAACAAGUGCUCGUGUCUUAAAUAUAACAGACACUUAUAUCACAUUCUUCACUUAGCAUCCUAAGUUUAAGUCUAGAAAUCCUACAAAUUCCUAGUUCGCUUAAAUUAAUGCACUGAUACCAACUGUGACAUCUCCAUUUUCACGGCUAGAAAAAGACCAAUUUUGUUUAUGCUUUGUUUGAAAAUCAGAGUAACAUUUAAAAUAAAAGUGUUGUGGAAUUAGUUCCAAAACAAAAUAUGAUAAAGAUUUAUCAAAAGCAUUUCUAUAGAAAUGUAUUUAAUUAAAAGACUCUGAAUGUCAUGUUCGUACAGAUCAAAAGCAUAAACAGUACAAUAUAAGCCUUACUACAUUAUGUCAUAUCUACAGGCCUAUAUCCGUAAUCCCUCGUCCAAACAUCAUAUCUAUGCUCAAGCGCCACUACCUGUAAUACAUAAACGUGAGUGGGUCAGGCUUGGGAGCCUGGUGAGCACAUACGGUUUUCAACCCACAAUAAAUAAGUUUAUUAAUUUCAUCAAUCAACAAUAACCCGAUUACCCGUUCCCGUUAUCCUCACUUUACGUCCCUAAACACCUAUCAUAAGGGACCUAGCCUAAGGAUCAUCAUCGGGACGGACACUACUGCUAAGGGGAUUCCUCAACAAUAAAUGUCCUAAAGGCAACCAUGUGGGGGAUGGAGUACACCGGUGAACACAUCGUUCACAAACACCUACAGGUUGCGAGCCUGCUAGUGUUCCACUGGACUGUCUAGAAGAGUCUGUGGUCGUCAUCCAUACUCCGCUAGAUGACAGAAUCAACAACAUCAACAUCGAGGCCUCUCAUCAUUUUAUCACACAUCACCUAUUACAUCUACCCAUGUUUUACCCCAACAUUUUCGUAGAUAUAAAAUACAUAUACAGUUUAAAUCAUUGAAAACAUGUAUAACAAUGUUCAUCUAGCAUAGAUAGCAAGUAUUCAGAUAAUAUGCACACAUAGCACGUAAUUUAUAUAAAAUACUUCAUAUCUAUGUGUAAGUUGAAAGUAACUAUGCACUCACCUGGUAAGGUGGUGACUCGGCACUCGGACAGCUCUUCAUUACUUCUUAAAACAAUUUUUUCCUCGACCAAAACCUAGUAUUAAUACCACUAGAGUUUAGUUUUAACGUUAAUUGUGACUAAUUAAUAGUCUUACUAUUAUUACUAUUAUAUAAGCGUUAAAUAACACUCAAUAUAACUCAUAAUAAUAGCCCAAAUAAUUAUUUUAAGGUCCUAAUAAUGUUACUAUAAUUAAAUAAAAGCUAUAUUAAAUACAGUAUAGGUGUAACUCACUUACAACGGGUUUUUAUUAAAAACCGGGCUUCGCGGGAGCAGCGUUUCCGAGCCGAAAGCUUUUCUUCUCGGAGCCGUCGGGCGCUCCGGGGCUUUCUUCUCGUGAUAGGGAGGUUCCCUAGACUUGGGAGG